RNAcentral lists this ribosomal RNA (385 nucleotides) under uncultured bacterium. RNAcentral describes it as "bacterial SSU rRNA". It matches the Rfam family "Bacterial small subunit ribosomal RNA", at positions 28 to 416 of the family's 1533-position model. The record is from RNAcentral.
GACGAACGCUGGCGGCGUGCUUAACACAUGCAAGUCGAGCGGUAAGGCUCCUUCGGGAGUACACGAGCGGCGAACGGGUGAGUAACACGUGAGCAAUCUGCCCUUCACUUCGGGAUAACUCCGGGAAACCGGUGCUAAUACCGAAUACGACCACUUCAGGCAUCUGAUGGUGGUGGAAAGUUCCGGCGGUGAAGGAUGAGCUCGCGGCCUAUCAGCUUGUUGGUGAGGAAUGGCCCACCAAGGCAACGACGGGUAGCCGGCCUGAGAGGGUGACCGGCCACACUGGGACUGAGACACGGCCCAGACUCCUACGGGAGGCAGCAGUGGGAAUCUUGCGCAAUGGGCGAAAGCCUGACGCAGCGACGCCGCGUGAGGGAUGACGGCC